RNAcentral lists this ribosomal RNA (392 nucleotides) under uncultured bacterium. Its description in RNAcentral is "partial 16S ribosomal RNA". It matches the Rfam family "Bacterial small subunit ribosomal RNA", at positions 523 to 918 of the family's 1533-position model. The record is from RNAcentral.
AUACGGAGGAUCCGAGCGUUAUCCGGAUUUAUUGGGUUUAAAGGGUGCGCAGGGGGAGAUUAAGUCGGCGGUGAAAUUUUGCAGCUCAACUGUAAAAGUGCUUUCGAAACUGGUUUCCUUGAGUGUAGAUGAAGUAGGCGGAAUUUGUGGUGUAGCGGUGAAAUGCAUAGAUAUCACGAGGAACUCCGAUUGCGCAGGCAGCUUACUAAACUACUACUGACGCUCAGGCACGAAGGCGUGGGGAUCAAACAGGAUUAGAUACCCUGGUAGUCCACGCAGUAAACGAUGAUUACUAGCUGUUUGUGAUACAAUGUAAGCGGCUGAGCGAAAGCGUUAAGUAAUCCACCUGGGGAGUACGUUCGCAAGAAUGAAACUCAAAUGAAUUGACGGGG